GGAUGAUAACUUUAGGAUACAAACAAGAACAGAAAGAGCAUACUGAGAUUUGUGAGAAAUUAUUAAGGUGGGAAGAUAUCCAAGACAGCAAUUUUCAAGGAAAUUUUUAAAAAGACGUUAAAAGAAUCAUCAACCAUAAUGUGAAGUCAAAAGAACGUGAAUUAAGAAAAAAAAAAAAUCCUUGAUUUGGAGCUCCAGAGGCCAUUUGUACAUAGGAAAGAAAUUUCAGGUAGAGUAUUUGACGUAAAAUUGCAGUUUUAGAAAAUGAGACAACCUCUACCUGUAGAACUUUCUCUGAAUAGUCUAGAAAGC
RNAcentral lists this long non-coding RNA (312 nucleotides) under Bos taurus (domestic cattle). RNAcentral describes it as "long non-coding RNA NONBTAT023089". The record is from RNAcentral. Lineage: Eukaryota; Metazoa; Chordata; Mammalia; Artiodactyla; Bovidae.